UUUGAGUUUGUCAGGCCGAACCCAGGCAACAAGAAUUAUACCGGGUUAGGAGCACAACAUAAGCUCUUUUGUGUUGCCGUGGAAUCUGCUGCCUGCAGGUGAAUCCCCCCCCUUUCUACAGGUUUUCAGUCUUCUACACUCAGAUGGUGAUAUUAAUCCAACGACAGGUCUGUUUGGUUUCUUCUCGUGGGAUUGAGGAGUAGCAGUUGCCAAAUCCAAACUAAAUAGAAGCCUUCUAAACCGUAGAAAUCCUCGAGUUACCUGAGCAUGUCUCCGGUGUUCAAACAAGGGCCACUGAGAGCAGG
This 305-nucleotide long non-coding RNA is filed under the name Musa acuminata (dwarf banana). RNAcentral's name for it is "long non-coding RNA (MACU_LNC006838)". Lineage: Eukaryota; Viridiplantae; Streptophyta; Magnoliopsida; Zingiberales; Musaceae. The record is from RNAcentral.